This 286-nucleotide unclassified non-coding RNA is filed under the name air metagenome. RNAcentral's name for it is "partial contains small subunit ribosomal RNA, internal transcribed spacer 1, and 5.8S ribosomal RNA". The stretch from base 1 to 46 matches the Rfam family "Eukaryotic small subunit ribosomal RNA", at positions 1786 to 1831 of the family's 1831-position model. The record is from RNAcentral.
AAGUCGUAACAAGGUUUCUGUAGGUGAACCUGCAGAAGGAUCAUUAGUGAAGAUUUGGGCAGGCCAUACGGACGCCAAAAAGUGUCCCUGGCCGCCUACACCCACUAUACAUCCACAAACCCGUGUGCACUGUCUUGGAGAAAGGCUUCAGAGAAGUUUUUUGUGGCCUCUCUUGGGGUCUUUCUUCGCUACAAACUCGAAUGGUUAGUAUGAACGUGGAACUUGGUUGGACCGUCACUGGCCAACAAACUAUACACAACUUUCGACAACGGAUCUCUUGGUUCUC